GGAUGCCAUCUCUCUAUGCACUGGAGCUUGGCAGCCGUGCCUGCUGAGGCGGAGGGCUGGAGGGAGCACAGAAAGACAUAAGAAACUUGGAAGCUCUAGCGCAAACCCAUCCGUGAACAGAGGAGGAAGCAGGGCCCGGAACUGGCCCCAGUUCAAACAGGGAGGAGGCAGCUGUGGAAUGAGGCCCAGGCCCUGGCCUCCUUCCUCUACCAGGCCCAGGUCCAGGCUCACGGAGAACAGGGUGGAAGCCUUGGGAAACGAGUCUGUGGUUAAUCAUUGUCUCAUCCAGAAGUCUAAGCUGGGCCCAGAGAUGAGGCCCAGGAACCAAGAGGUGCACAGACACCAGAGCCUCUCAUCCACGAUGUUCCCGGCAUCUGCAGCACCAAGGUGGAUGUGUGGGACUGAGCGUCACCUCCAUGACUGUCCUCUGAGGAUUCCGCCUCAUUCCUCUUCUCCCCGUAGCCAUGCCAGGGGGGCAGGGCCGCAGCGCCGAGGCACAGAGUCUACACCAUGUGCCAGGGGCCUGGGGACCCCCUCGGGCUCCUGGCCAGCAGUGCUGUUCUUCCCUGAGCCUCCAUUUCCCCAUCCACAGAAGGCAAGUGGUCUGCGGGACAAAAGUCCAACAUGAGUGUUCCCGGCCCGAAACGCAGGCACUGGCGGCGCCACGCUCCCCCGGAGCCGGGAAGAACCCUUUGCUCGCCUCUUCCGACUUUGGGAGGCCGUGGUUUUGCCUGGUUUGUGGCAGUGUUGAUCAGAAGUUUAAGGCAGGCUCCGCGCUCCAGCUUCCUUCCCCUGGCUCUAUGUGCACACAUGUGCACGUGUGGAACCUCCCGGCUUCCUCCUACACCUGGGAUUGAAUUCAGCGCCUGUCUGGAUAAUCCAGGAUAAUCUCCCUGUCUCGAGUUCCCUCACUGAAUAGCAGCUGCAAAGGCUUUGCCAUGUACAGGGACAAUCGCAGGUUCCUGCGUGCCUAUCUUUGGGCCGCAUAUUCCAGUCUAUUGCAACCCCUACCUCACACCAUGAGCAGAAAGAAAUUCCAGGCCUCGUGGUGAAAGAUUAAAACAGUGAAGCCUUAGAAGAAAAAAUAAGACAACGUCUUCAUGACCUUGGAUAGCUAAAGUUUCUUCAAACUAGAAAGAAAAGCACUAACCAUAAAACAUCUUAAAAAUAGCAAGGCAUAGGG
Long non-coding RNA from Chinchilla lanigera (long-tailed chinchilla), 1183 nucleotides. RefSeq lists it as uncharacterized. The record is from RefSeq and is a predicted model, not a curated record. Lineage: Eukaryota; Metazoa; Chordata; Mammalia; Rodentia; Chinchillidae. The transcript is spliced from 5 exons.